Non-coding RNA from Equus caballus (horse), 476 nucleotides. The record is from RefSeq and is a predicted model, not a curated record. Lineage: Eukaryota; Metazoa; Chordata; Mammalia; Perissodactyla; Equidae.
CGCCCGGCGCCUCGUCUCCCGCCGCUCCCGGCCCCGCGCCGCCCCCGAGGCCGAUGGCGGCGGCCGCGCGGAGGGAGCCGGCUCAGGACAGUGUGACCUUUGGAGACGUUGCAGUGUACUUCUCCUGGGAGGAGUGGAGGCUCCUUGGUGAAGCUUAGAGGCACUUGUACUUCAGUGUGAUGCUGGAGAACUUUGCGCUCAUAUCCUCACUGGGGUUUGCUCCCUUCCUUGACUGACAUUUCCUAGGACCUGCCUGUGCCAGGAAUUGCAGGCAUUGUCAUGAUCACUACUUACCUGGACCAUGGGCUAUUUUUCAAGACUUUUCUAUGAGAACACAAGAUCUACUCUCAGCAGAUUUCCUUGUACAGUACAGUAUGAGUCACUGUAGUCAGCAUGCUGUACGUUAGAUCCUCAGAACUUAUUCAUCUUAUGAAUGAAAUUGUAUCCUUUGACCAACAUCUCCCCAUUUCUCCAGC